RNAcentral lists this ribosomal RNA (253 nucleotides) under uncultured bacterium. RNAcentral describes it as "partial 16S ribosomal RNA". It matches the Rfam family "Bacterial small subunit ribosomal RNA", at positions 524 to 776 of the family's 1533-position model. The record is from RNAcentral.
UACGUAGGGGGCAAGCGUUGUCCGGAUUUACUGGGCGUAAAGCGCGCGUAGGCGGAGCGGCAAGUCCGGUCUGAAAGCCCCCGGCUCAACCGGGGAGGGUGGCUGGAAACUGCUGAGCUCGAGUCAGCUAGAGGUACACGGAACUUCCAGUGGAGCGGUGAAAUGUGUUGAUAUUGGAAGGAACACCGGAGGCGAAAGCGGUGUACUGGGGCUGGUCUGACGCUGAGGCACGAAAGCCAGGGGAGCGAACGGG